Non-coding RNA from Myodes glareolus (Bank vole), 494 nucleotides. Lineage: Eukaryota; Metazoa; Chordata; Mammalia; Rodentia; Cricetidae. The record is from RefSeq and is a predicted model, not a curated record.
CUUGGAGCUGAGCAGAUCCUGUCCCAAGAUCCCACUUGCCGGUUUCCCAUGGCAAACAUCCCGUGACAUGCAAGCCUCAGCCAGUGGCUUUGUGAACCAGCUCCUACUUCCGGGACAACUUUCCUGGAGUUUGAGAAGAGACAACGGUGACGGAAAGCUGGUGUCCUAUCAGCUGCCGUGAAGAGAGAGAGGAGGAAGAGUUUGGAAGGGGAGGCUAGGGUUCCUUAGCUAGAGAUCAAGAAAGGAGUGGACAUCAUUUCUUGAAAGUCCAGUGUCUCAUGCAAAGCCACGUCUGACUCCCUGUCAAUCAGUUUGGUUUAAGCUGGGUUGACUGCUGACUCCAAAAUGAAUUUAUAAUGUAUGAAAUAGAAAGCUGUUGGUGGAUUCUGAGCGACAGAGUUGCGUGAUCUAACUGAGCCCUAGAAAAAUUCCCUGGGAUAACGAAGAGAGACUGAAAGACAAGCAGGGGGAGGCUGUUACAACAAAGAACCAGG